This 433-nucleotide ribosomal RNA is filed under the name uncultured bacterium. RNAcentral's name for it is "partial 16S ribosomal RNA". It matches the Rfam family "Bacterial small subunit ribosomal RNA", at positions 29 to 507 of the family's 1533-position model. The record is from RNAcentral.
AGCGAACGCUGGCGGCAGGCCUAACACAUGCAAGUCGAACGAACUCUUCGGAGUUAGUGGCGGACGGGUGAGUAACACGUGGGAACGUGCCUUUAGGUUCGGAAUAACUCAGGGAAACUUGUGCUAAUACCGAAUGUGCCCUUCGGGGGAAAGAUUUAUCGCCUUUAGAGCGGCCCGCGUCUGAUUAGCUAGUUGGUGAGGUAAAGGCUCACCAAGGCGACGAUCAGUAGCUGGUCUGAGAGGAUGAUCAGCCACAUUGGGACUGAGACACGGCCCAAACUCCUACGGGAGGCAGCAGUGGGGAAUCUUGCGCAAUGGGCGAAAGCCUGACGCAGCCAUGCCGCGUGCAUGAUGAAGGUCUUAGGAUUGUAAAAUUCUUUCACCGGGGACGAUAAUGACGGUACCCGGAGAAGAAGCCCCGGCUAACUUCGUG